GGGGACGUUACGGAUUCGACAGGUAUAGGUCGAGCUUUUGAUGCGCUCCGUAGGUUACGUCUACGCUAAAACGUUACAGUUAAAACAACUGACAAAACACAAAACAACACUUUAGCUUUCGCUGCUUAAUUGUAGCUAGCUAAGAUCCUCCUGGUAUCGCCCAUGUACUCAGAUCAGGGUCUCAAUGAUGUGGGAUACGCUGUGACCUUCCAUCUGGAGGAAUCAGAAGAGAUCAAUCAGAUUAGCCAACAAUAAUGCCUGUUAAACGGCUAGUUCAAGGCGAAUUCCAAUAGUUUAACUAUGAGCGUAGACUUGGAAGUGCCGAUAUGCUUGGACACGGGUUCGACUCCCGUCGUCUCCAUAC
Molecule: transfer-messenger RNA, 364 nt
Filed under: Trichococcus patagoniensis
Lineage: Bacteria; Bacillati; Bacillota; Bacilli; Lactobacillales; Carnobacteriaceae
Also listed under: 1 other name
Description: Standard tmRNA
Rfam family: transfer-messenger RNA
About the family: Bacterial tmRNA, also known as 10Sa RNA or SsrA, is named for its dual tRNA and mRNA-like properties. Its role is to liberate the mRNA from a stalled ribosome.
Source: RNAcentral